UACCCCGUGGUGUAAUUGGCAACACAAGAGAUUUUGGUUCUCUUAUUUCUGGUUCGAGUCCAGACGGGGUAACCA
Molecule: transfer RNA, 75 nt
Filed under: Planctomycetota bacterium
Lineage: Bacteria; Pseudomonadati; Planctomycetota
Description: tRNA-Gln
Rfam family: tRNA
About the family: Transfer RNA (tRNA) molecules are approximately 80 nucleotides in length.
Source: RNAcentral